This 104-nucleotide small nuclear RNA is filed under the name Microcebus murinus (gray mouse lemur). The record is from RNAcentral. Lineage: Eukaryota; Metazoa; Chordata; Mammalia; Primates; Cheirogaleidae.
GUGCUAGCUUUGGCAGGAUAUAUACUAAAAUUAGAGCGAUAAAGAGAUUAGCAUGGCACCUGCACAAGGAUGACAUGCAAAUUCAUGAAGCAUUCCAUAUUUUG